CCUACGGGUGGCAGCAGUGAGGAAUAUUGGUCAAUGGACGGAAGUCUGAACCAGCCAUGCCGCGUGAAGGAAGACGGCUCUAUGAGUUGUAAACUGCUUUUGUCCAAGGGUAAACCUGAAUACGUGUAUUCAGCUGAAAGUACUGUACGAAUAAGGAUCGGCUAACUCCGUGCCAGCAGCCGCGGUAAUACGGAGGAUCCAAGCGUUAUCCGGAUUUAUUGAGUUUAAAGGGUGCGUAGGCGGAUGGAUAAGUUAGAGGUGAAAUGUCCGAGCUUAACUCGGGAACUGCCUCUAAUACUGUUGAUCGAGAGAGUAGAUGCGGUAGGCGGAAUGUAUGGUGUAGCGGUGAAAUGCUUAGAGAUCAUACAGAACACCGAUUGCGAAGGCAGCUUACCAAUCUAUAUCUGACGUUGAGGCACGAAAGCGUGGGGAGCAAACAGGAUUAGAUACCCGGGUAGUC
Molecule: ribosomal RNA, 460 nt
Filed under: uncultured bacterium
Lineage: Bacteria
Description: partial 16S ribosomal RNA
Rfam family: Bacterial small subunit ribosomal RNA
Source: RNAcentral